This 240-nucleotide unclassified non-coding RNA is filed under the name soil metagenome. RNAcentral describes it as "partial contains 5.8S ribosomal RNA, internal transcribed spacer 2, and large subunit ribosomal RNA". The record is from RNAcentral.
AACAAGGCGUACCUGCGGACCUGCGGAGGGAUCAUCAUUGCUAACAACGUCCCAAGCUUUCGGAGGAGGGGAGAGAAUUUUUCUUUCUUUUUCCCUGGCUUUUGGGCUUUUACAAACAACUUUGAUACCCAAAAAGAGUCCUCUAUCUCUUUGGUUUUCAGCUUGUUUUUAUAUGGGUUGAUGGGAUGGCUGAAGGGAGAAAAGGAAAGAAACAUAUGCGGUUGCCUGAUAAAUCAAAUG